This 1372-nucleotide ribosomal RNA is filed under the name uncultured bacterium. RNAcentral describes it as "bacterial SSU rRNA". It matches the Rfam family "Bacterial small subunit ribosomal RNA", at positions 28 to 1381 of the family's 1533-position model. The record is from RNAcentral.
GAUGAACGCUGGCGGCGUGCCUAAUACAUGCAAGUCGAGCGAACGGACGAGAAGCUUGCUUCUCUGAUGUUAGCGGCGGACGGGUGAGUAACACGUGGAUAACCUACCUAUAAGACUGGGAUAACUUCGGGAAACCGGAGCUAAUACCGGAUAAUAUUUUGAACCGCAUGGUUCAAAAGUGAAAGACGGUCUUGCUGUCACUUAUAGAUGGAUCCGCGCUGCAUUGGCUAGUUGGUAAGGUAACGGCUUACCAAGGCAACGAUGCAUAGCCGACCUGAGAGGGUGAUCGGCCACACUGGAACUGAGACACGGUCCAGACUCCUACGGGAGGCAGCAGUAGGGAAUCUUCCGCAAUGGGCGAAAGCCUGACGGAGCAACGCCGCGUGAGUGAUGAAGGUCUUCGGAUCGUAAAACUCUGUUAUUAGGGAAGAACAUAUGUGUAAGUAACUGUGCACAUCUUGACGGUACCUAAUCAGAAAGCCACGGCUAACUACGUGCCAGCAGCCGCGGUAAUACGUAGGUGGCAAGCGUUAUCCGGAAUUAUUGGGCGUAAAGCGCGCGUAGGCGGUUUUUUAAGUCUGAUGUGAAAGCCCACGGCUCAACCGUGGAGGGUCAUUGGAAACUGGAAAACUUGAGUGCAGAAGAGGAAAGUGGAAUUCCAUGUGUAGCGGUGAAAUGCGCAGAGAUAUGGAGGAACACCAGUGGCGAAGGCGACUUUCUGGUCUGUAACUGACGCUGAUGUGCGAAAGCGUGGGGAUCAAACAGGAUUAGAUACCCUGGUAGUCCACGCCGUAAACGAUGAGUGCUAAGUGUUAGGGGGUUUCCGCCCCUUAGUGCUGCAGCUAACGCAUUAAGCACUCCGCCUGGGGAGUACGACCGCAAGGUUGAAACUCAAAGGAAUUGACGGGGACCCGCACAAGCGGUGGAGCAUGUGGUUUAAUUCGAAGCAACGCGAAGAACCUUACCAAAUCUUGACAUCCUUUGACAACUCUAGAGAUAGAGCUUUCCCCUUCGGGGGACAAAGUGACAGGUGGUGCAUGGUUGUCGUCAGCUCGUGUCGUGAGAUGUUGGGUUAAGUCCCGCAACGAGCGCAACCCUUAAGCUUAGUUGCCAUCAUUAAGUUGGGCACUCUAAGUUGACUGCCGGUGACAAACCGGAGGAAGGUGGGGAUGACGUCAAAUCAUCAUGCCCCUUAUGAUUUGGGCUACACACGUGCUACAAUGGACAAUACAAAGGGCAGCGAAACCGCGAGGUCAAGCAAAUCCCAUAAAGUUGUUCUCAGUUCGGAUUGUAGUCUGCAACUCGACUACAUGAAGCUGGAAUCGCUAGUAAUCGUAGAUCAGCAUGCUACGGUGAAUACGUUCCCGGGUCU